GUGUCAGCCGCCGCGGUAAUACGUAGGUGGCAAGCGUUGUCCGGAUUUAUUGGGUUUAAAGGGUGCGUAGGCGGCUUGAUAAGUCAGUGGUGAAAGCCGAUCGCUUAACGAUCGAACUGCCAUUGAUACUGCCAGGCUUGAGUAUAGUUGAGGUAGGCGGAAUUGACAGUGUAGCGGUGAAAUGCAUAGAUAUUGUCAAGAACACCAAUUGCGAAGGCAGCUUACUAAAGUAUAACUGACGCUGAGGCACGAAAGUGCGGGGAUCAAACAGGAUUAGAUACCCUCGUAGUCC
Molecule: ribosomal RNA, 292 nt
Filed under: uncultured bacterium
Lineage: Bacteria
Description: partial 16S ribosomal RNA
Rfam family: Bacterial small subunit ribosomal RNA
Source: RNAcentral